AUGCUUGCUUUGCAUGAAAAAUGCCUUACCCGCCGCUAUUUUAUUCAACGCCUCGAUUUCCUGGAGGGCCUUGUGGGCUUCGGCCUUAGCGGCUUUGGCACUCUCAAGAGCCGAUGCAAGCUCGAGUCUUCGAGUCGCGCUCCAAACUCUCAUGUUUUUCCACGAGAGCCUGGAGCUCUUGCUGCACCUCCACCACCCGCGCCUCCUACUUCUCUCGCCCAGCAUGCUCCGUGGGCCGUAUUACGUUCGGCCGCAGACAUCGCCUCCUUCAGGGUUGCCACCUCGUUCGUGGCCCCUGGAGUACCCAUGUUAUCCUUGUCAUUCCUCUUGCAACCAAAUCCUUUUCUGUAA
This 351-nucleotide ribosomal RNA is filed under the name Triticum aestivum (bread wheat). RNAcentral's name for it is "partial small subunit ribosomal RNA". Lineage: Eukaryota; Viridiplantae; Streptophyta; Magnoliopsida; Poales; Poaceae. The record is from RNAcentral.